GGUUGUACCUGUUGAGGUGGCUGCUGCUGCGUCCAUUGCUGUUGAUACUGAUUGAAUUGUUGUGGCGGUGGAGUUUGACUUAGCUGGGGAUUAGUCAUUUGUGAUGGCAACCGAGAAACAUCUGGAAGUUGUUGAUAUUGGGUCUGAGCAUGCUGGAUAUGGGUUGGUUGACUUGGCAUUUGGUUUGAAGGGAUGUAAUAAGAUUGCUGUUGAGGCACAUUCUGUGGCAAAGCUGCUGGAGGGGGUGGUGUAAUAGGAUUUUGCUGUGGAACAAUCU
RNAcentral lists this unclassified non-coding RNA (277 nucleotides) under Hevea brasiliensis (rubber tree). The record is from RNAcentral. Lineage: Eukaryota; Viridiplantae; Streptophyta; Magnoliopsida; Malpighiales; Euphorbiaceae.